GAAUUUUUCUCAAUGGGCGAAAGCCUGAAGGAGCGACGCCGCGUGGGGGAUGAAGGUCUUCGGAUUGUAAACCCCUGUCACUUGGGAACAAACCUUUCAACCUAACACGUUGAGAGCUGAUUGUACCAGGAGAGGAAGACGUGGCUAACUCUGUGCCAGCAGCCGCGGUAAUACAGAGACGUCAAGCGUUGUUCGGAUUCAUUGGGCGUAAAGGGUGCGUAGGCGGUGAGGUAAGUCGGAUGUGAAAUCUCAGGGCUCAACCCUGAAAGUGCAUCCGAAACUCCCUCGCUUGAGGACUGGAGGGGAGACUGGAAUUCUCGGUGUAGCGGUGAAAUGCGUAGAUAUCGAGAGGAACACCUGUGGCGAAGGCGGGUCUCUAGACAGUUCCUGACGCUGAGGCACGAAAGCUAGGGUAGCAAACGGG
RNAcentral lists this ribosomal RNA (424 nucleotides) under uncultured bacterium. Its description in RNAcentral is "bacterial SSU rRNA". It matches the Rfam family "Bacterial small subunit ribosomal RNA", at positions 359 to 776 of the family's 1533-position model. The record is from RNAcentral.